GUUUCUGUAGUGUAGUGGUCAUCAUGUUUGCCUAGCAUGCGAAAGAUCCUUGGUUCGAAACUGAGCAGAAACA
Molecule: non-coding RNA, 73 nt
Organism: Danio rerio (zebrafish)
Lineage: Eukaryota; Metazoa; Chordata; Actinopteri; Cypriniformes; Danionidae
Source: Rfam